AAGCAUUUAGCAUUGGACAUCAUGCUAGCCUCUGGGGACAGAGAGUUACACAAAAUAUGACUCUCACCUUUAAAAGAUCAUAGUCUUUCUGGAGGUGUGGAAACUAUGAGCAGAGAGAUAGUAAUGCCAGGGACAGCAUCAGAAUUUGUAGAACUCUGUCUUAUCUGGGUGCAGAUACGUGAGCCCCAGCUACUGUUCCAGCACCGUGUCUGCCUGCCUUCUUCCAUGUUUCCUGCCAUGAUGGUCAUGGACUCUGAAACUGGCUAAACCGUGUGUCUCAAUGUUUGGUCCAGCACAUAUGUUCACAAUGGGGAAGCAAGGCAAACAGACGGCGAGGCUUGAUUCGCAGUAAGAAGUCAGGACGCUGUGUUUCCUUGUCCGGAGCAGCCCAUGUUGCACCUGGGUACCUGGCAAGAGCAGCUUAAGAAAGCAAGAGCUUAUUUUGGCAGAUCGAGGGUGGGGGAAGACAUGACCACAGGAGUACGAGGUCACCUGGAGUCCACAGUGAGAAAGCAGGCAAGCGAGCGCUCGUGCUCAGCUUGCUUUCUCUAAGCCUAGGAUCCCAGCCCACAGAACGCUGCAACCCACCCACCGCCUGGCUCUUCAUCAGAAAUGAAAUCCUUCUGGAAUCGCCCUCACAGACACACUAGAGGUGUGCUUCCUCAGUGAUCCCAAAAUCUAGCCAGAAUAGGUAUUCAUGGAAGCCAAGAAAAGUUACUCAACCCCUGAGGAUCAUGACCCAGACAGGGCUGGCCUUGGAUGUGUCUUGCAAGACACACAGGUGCGCCACCUAGCUUUACCAUGGACAACCACAUCAUGGAUAACUGACAUGCUGAGAAGGCCUGGGAUUUCCAUCCCCGACCCUCCUGCAGCAGUUGCAUGGGACAUCCGUUAGACUUUGCCCAGCUCUCUUCGAGACUUGCUCAGAGUUCCUGCUUCAUCGCCUUCCAGAGCAUCACAGUCCAUGUUCUCAUAGCUUUAUAUGUGGGAAGAUAAGUUCAGAAUAGCCCGGGGUGGUUUUCAUCCCAAUGUAGAUAAAAUUUCAGGGUGUGAAGUUCUUC
RNAcentral lists this long non-coding RNA (1061 nucleotides) under Mus musculus (house mouse). RNAcentral describes it as "predicted gene, 40438". Lineage: Eukaryota; Metazoa; Chordata; Mammalia; Rodentia; Muridae. The record is from RNAcentral.